Long non-coding RNA from Raphanus sativus (radish), 890 nucleotides. RefSeq lists it as uncharacterized. The transcript has 2 exons. The record is from RefSeq and is a predicted model, not a curated record. NCBI's taxonomy places the organism in Eukaryota, Viridiplantae, Streptophyta, Magnoliopsida, Brassicales, Brassicaceae.
AGUUCACUCCUUCGGACAAAACUGCUCAGAUUUGUCUUUACUUUCUUUUUUCUGUCGAUUAGCGUUGUAACUUUAUGUAGUAGAGCGGUUGUAUCUGUGUGAAUAUCUCCGGCGUGUUGUGUGUUGUUUCUUUUUAAGCCUUGGAAACAUCGCUUCUUCGUGGCCGACGUCGUUUCACACGCACGAGCACCAUCUCUUACACACGUGCGUCGGAUUCGAAGUAGUGGUGUUUCUGGGUCUUUUUGGAUUUUUGCUGGGUUUUAUCCAUUUACUUAAAAGCCUUGAAUGAUCAGAUUUUAAUAGCUAUGAUAUCUGAGGGCUUUUCUUGAUAAAGUUUUGAUUUUUAAGGGUUUUGUUUUUUUCUUAGCCCGUUGAUGUAAAAGUUCGAUACUUUCUGAGUGGUGCCCUGGUUUUUUUAAUCGCUUGUUCAUGUAGUUAUCAUUGCAGCUCUUCUUCUUCUUCCCUAUCAUCAUCAUCAUCAUCAUCAUCGUCAUUGUUAACACUCUCUUCUUCUUCUUUUGUUGUUUUGCUGCUGCUGCUACUGCUACUACUUUGUUGCGAUGGACUGAAAAGUUUGUCUGAAUGGCUGAUUUUGGCUGAACAAAAAUUAAAUUUCUGCUCUUACUUACUUUGGGAACGAAUUUUGAAGGUUGGAGGUUUUGUAUGUGCGCUUAUGGGAUGCAAUGCCAACAUCAAUAGCUAUUAGAGAUUGAAAUGGGCAAAUGUGCUAAAAAAAGUGAAAGAUAUGAGAUCGAAAUGUGUAGUGUAUAGUUGUUACAUCAAUAUCAUGGUUUGUUUCACCAGUGCUUUCAUUUUGAAUUCUCAGGACUUGUUUGUUUUGUAUAAGGAUUUUAGUCAAUUUUGAAGUUAUACGAAACCAACUUAAAACG